RNAcentral lists this non-coding RNA (98 nucleotides) under pig gut metagenome. RNAcentral describes it as "SAM riboswitch (S box leader)". It matches the Rfam family "SAM riboswitch aptamer (S box leader)". Rfam says of the family: The SAM riboswitch is found upstream of a number of genes which code for proteins involved in methionine or cysteine biosynthesis in Gram-positive bacteria. The SAM riboswitch acts at the level of transcription termination control. The record is from RNAcentral.
UCUUAUUAAGAGCGGUGGAGGGACUGGCCCUGUGAAGCCCGGCAACCUGCAUUUUGCAAGGUGCCAAAUCCUGCGGAUAUUGUAUCUGAGAAAUGAGG